This 596-nucleotide ribosomal RNA is filed under the name Chrysozymaceae sp. BI157. Its description in RNAcentral is "eukaryotic LSU rRNA". It matches the Rfam family "Eukaryotic large subunit ribosomal RNA", at positions 47 to 656 of the family's 3401-position model. Lineage: Eukaryota; Fungi; Basidiomycota; Microbotryomycetes; Chrysozymaceae. The record is from RNAcentral.
AUAGCGGAGGAAAAGAAACUAACAAGGAUUCCCCUAGUAACGGCGAGUGAAGCGGGAAGAGCUCAAAUUUGUAAUCUGGCACUUUCAGUGUCCGAGUUGUAAUCUCGAGAAGUGUUUUCCGCGCUGGACCGCAUACAAGUCUGUUGGAAUACAGCGUCAUAGUGGUGAGAACCCCGUAACUGAUGCGGAUGCCCAGUGCUUUGUGAUACACUUUCGAAGAGUCGAGUUGUUUGGGAAUGCAGCUCAAAAUGGGUGGUAAAUUCCAUCUAAAGCUAAAUAUUGGCGAGAGACCGAUAGCGAACAAGUACCGUGAGGGAAAGAUGAAAAGCACCUUGGAAAGGGAGUUAACAGUACGUGAAAUUGUUGGAAGGGAAACGCUUGAAGUCUAGACUUGCUAUGUGGAUUUAUUCGCUUCGCAGGCCAGCAUCAGUUUCUGGGGGUGGAAAAGGGUUGGGAGAAUGUAGCAACUCCGGUUGUGUUAUAGCUCCUUUCUGGAUUCAUCUUUGGGGACUGAGGAACGCAGCGCGCUUUUUGCAAGGCUCUCGAGCUUUUCGCGCUUAGGAUGCUGGUGGAAUGGCUUUAAACGACCCGUCUGA